Prunus persica (peach) is the source of this 527-nucleotide long non-coding RNA. RefSeq lists it as uncharacterized. Lineage: Eukaryota; Viridiplantae; Streptophyta; Magnoliopsida; Rosales; Rosaceae. The record is from RefSeq and is a predicted model, not a curated record. The transcript has 2 exons.
GUUUGUCUGUGGUGCGCCGGGUGUACCUGUACAGCCCAUCACGUGGCCUUUUUUUAAAAACAAUGAAAACUGGUUCUUUUGGUUAACCAGUUAAACUAAGGAAAAUAAAAACUCCCGCUCGUUCAAAACCUAGGCUGCACACAGAUCGAUUUCGUCUAUCUCCUCCUCCAUAGCUUUGCACAGCCACAGCUCUAUUUCGGUGAAUUCAUAGCUGCACAGCUUCCUACAGCCUGAAGAAGCUCCCCCCACUUCGUCUUCUCCAUCUGAGGAGCAGAUUUCAGCCAAAACCCAGAAACCCACUUCGUCUUCUCCAGCUGCUUCCUCCAUCUCGUUAUGGAAGCUCAAAAAAGGGGAUCAACAAAAGGAAAGCGCAAAGUCGACAGUAAUGUGCAACAAUCAAGAGUUGGCCAGGAUGCAUUUUUUAAUUUCAUGUAAGUUACACGUACAUCUAAAAAUCGAAAAUGUAGUUGCUUAAUAUUAUGAUGGUUUUUUGAUUAAAAAUAAAUGAUUUACAAAAAAAAAAAAAA